AUACGUAGGUGGCGAGCGUUAUUCGGAUUUAUUGGGCGUAAAGGGUUCGUAGGCUGUUGUGUAAGUCUGAAGUGAAAUCCCGUGGCUCAACCACGGAACUGCUUUGGAUACUGCAUGACUAGAGUACUGGAGAGGCAAGCAGAAUUCCUGGUGUAGCGGUGGAAUGCGUAGAUAUCAGGAGGAAUACCAAUUGCGAAGGCAGCUUGCUGGACAGUUACUGACGCUGAGGAACGAAAGCUAGGGGAGCGAACAGGAUUAGAUACCCUAGUAGUCC
Molecule: ribosomal RNA, 274 nt
Filed under: uncultured bacterium
Lineage: Bacteria
Description: partial 16S ribosomal RNA
Rfam family: Bacterial small subunit ribosomal RNA
Source: RNAcentral